RNAcentral lists this long non-coding RNA (2056 nucleotides) under Anas zonorhyncha (Eastern spot-billed duck). RNAcentral describes it as "lncRNA (ENSAZOG00000007159.1)". Lineage: Eukaryota; Metazoa; Chordata; Aves; Anseriformes; Anatidae. The record is from RNAcentral.
GUAGUGAAAAGGCACCCACGGAGGAAUGAGUAAUCGGGCUCUCAGGAUGGAGAGGGGCAGCGCUACCAGAAGAGGAGGGCAGCCGCUCUGAAUCAAAAAAUGCACAGCUGGGUUCAGGGGGUGGUUAGCCCUUCUGCCAGCUCUGCUGUGCUCCUGUUUCAGUGCCCAGCGGACUGGCAAAGUGCUCCGUGAGCACCGUGCUCGCUGUGCUGCAGCAAGUCCCCCGAGGGCAGCAUCACUGGCGGCUGGGCCGUGAUGCCCGCGGUGUUGAGCUGAUCUCUGCUUGCUGCUGUUUGGCAUCAUCCUUGUGGAUGUCUGGGCAGCUGACUCGUGAGCAUUUUCUGGUAAUGGUUGUAGCCGUGGGAUCCAAUGCCAGGACACCGGACACUGGUUUGGCACUGGGCUUGUGUUGUCCCCACCCCUCCAGCCGUGGAAAAGCUGCUGGGAUCCUCAAGAGCUGUACGCUGUAGACUGUUUAUGGCUGUUGGUUUGCGGGUGAUGUUUUAGGGUUUUGUUUUGUGACUGCCUGAGCCAGAAGGUGCCGCAGCUCUCGCUCCGGAGCACCACUCCCCUCCCCGCCCGUGGCUGCGGGGUCCUCCUCCUGCCUGGCAUCUUGACACCUUGGGCUUUGAUUAAUGAGGUGCUCUUCCCUGCGCUAUACGAAUCCCCGUUAGAUUUGGUGCUUAUUAAUUACAGCACAGCGCCGUCAGCACAUUUAGAAUUGGGGUCCCUGCUUUUCUAAUUCUCUUCUUAUUUCACAUGGCUUUUUUUUUUCCCCCCGGUUUCCCACCGCCCGUGCCGCCCCCUCCUCGGGGUCUCUGAUGGAUGAGGCUGCAGCGGACACCGCGCUGCUGGAGCCGAAGGUCAGCACUGGCAGCAGCUCUGCAGGACGUGGCUGCCCAGCUGCUCGCCCUGCUGCACUGCCCGGUCCUGGGGUCUCUGCUGCUGUGUCCUACAUCCCUCCUUGAUCUCCUAGAAGGUCUCCAGCCUUUCAUCGCUCAGGCUCAGCGUGUCCUGCAGUGCCCGGCUCUUUGUUUUGCUCUCGGCUCCUGCGACGGUGGUGAAGAACUCUCCCCUUUCGGUCCUUCGCAGGGCUGGCCUUGCCUGGCUCCUGCGGCAGGGCAGUAAUUCCUGGGCGGUGGAAGUGCAGAAAUAACGUGCGGUACCUGGCAGGGAGCGCUGCCCCUCACCAGGCUCUCCACAAACGGCACAGGAAUCCCAGGGAGGGUAAACUGCAACCUUUGGAUGGAAAGACACACACAGACCUGACCGUCCCGGAGCUCUGUUUGUGUUAGGAGGUUGCCAGUACCCCUAAAAGGUAACUUUUGUGAAAACAAGUGCUCAGCACCAAGAGAAAUCAUUUUGUAUUAACUAACUGGGAGGAAAGGGGGUUAAUCUGGCUGUUUAAAUGAUUCCUGAAGCAGCACAGAAGUUUCCCAUUGUGGAUGACACCGUAUUUCUCAUGUUCCUGGAGAGUUUUGAUCUCAAACAGGUAACGGGCUCAGCAGUUCGGGCUCUCCUUCACUCCGUGCAUGGGCACAGAACCUCUGCCAGCAUCACCGGAGCUGCCAGAGCCCCAGCCCGGGGUGUCCGAGUGGCCUCAUCCCUGUGGGGCUGGGGAGAUGCAAAUGAAAAGGACGACACAGGCAGGAUUCAGAGGUCAGCUCGUGCCCCUGAGACCCGAUCCUGAGCACCUCAGAGCCCUCGUAGCUCCCACGGGCUCAGGAUCAGGCAUCCCCCAGCAGAGCUCACCCCAGGUGUGCCUCCUGGUCCCAUGAAACCCAGAGCAUCUUUGGGACUGAAACGGGAACACCGCUGCCCUCCCCAACACCCCCAGCGCGGGCAGGGGGCCGGGACCCCCAGGCUCUGCUCCGUGUCCCCUGCCUGGAGCUCUCGGGAGGCCGCGAGCCACGCGGGCACCGCUCGGUGCCCGUCAGCCCCCGGCCCCGCAGGCGGAGCAGCGCUCGGUGCUGCCGCCAGACAAAGGCUGUUGCUGGAUACGUGGCAUCUGUUAGCAGCCUACUGCUGUCAUUAGCCGCAACCAGGCAUCUGCUGC